This 850-nucleotide long non-coding RNA is filed under the name Oncorhynchus mykiss (rainbow trout). Its description in RNAcentral is "lncRNA (ENSOMYG00000066727.1)". The record is from RNAcentral. Lineage: Eukaryota; Metazoa; Chordata; Actinopteri; Salmoniformes; Salmonidae.
UUGUACUGCUCCCAGCACAGAGGGAACCUGGUGUCGGUUCACAGCCCGGGUCAACAGGUGUUUGUCCAGGAUCUGGUCAGGAGACACACAGACCAGCCGGUCUGGAUAGGAGGCUACGAUGCAGCUCAGGAGGGGAUGUGGCUGUGGAGUGACGGCUCAGCUGUUGACAGUUUCUACUGGGAGGAGGAUGAGCCCAGUAACUCUGGACAGGGGGAGAACUGUAUGGAGCUACACACUGGAGGUGGGCAGGGCUGGAAUGACGUGUCCUGUGCAGAGCUGAGGUUCUAUGUGUGUUCUAUGGAGACAAGAUCUGGUUUAGCAUCAUUGCCAAGUCAGAAGAAAAAACACGAGAGAGAGCUGGUUGAAGAGGUGAGUAUUUAUGACGUCCUGUGGGAGACCAGUGAGAGAGUAGCAGAUGAGAUCCUCGACACAGCCUUCCUCAGGGGGAUGUAUUCCAGACGUCUGCCUGCCCGCUGCUAUGCUGACUUCUGCCACCAGGAGGUGCUAUACCUGGACAGAGUCACCACCAUGCUGCAGGUGAAAAGAAAAUACAUUACAUAAAACCAAUACCAUAAAGAUUUACUUACUAUGACUGUGAUACGUGAUUGUCGUCCCUAGCUAUCUUAAGAUAAGUUGCUCUGUAUAACAGUGUAAAUGUGUGUGUGGGCCAGGUGCUGAUCAGAACAGUCCAGGGUCCUCCAGACAUCAUGAUGUUUCUCCGGAGAACACAUCAACGCUACCAGGAGUCUAUGAAGGAGGCCCAGAUCCAAACUCCACCACACCUGGUAGGAAGCUGUUAUAACAAUCACCCGUAAUAUACAAUUUAAGAUAUAUCUUAAUAUGCAAUUUA